ACAACUGCCGAGACAGGUGAUCCCGAUGGUCUUUAAUCAGCAGAGCCAGAAUGGCCAAAAUCAAACUGACUGAAACACAGGGUGUACCCAGGCUGUGUGUAGAGGAGAUGUGGAUGAGCUCACCUGGAGGGCAACACAGAGCGAGCCACAAAAAUCUCAAAUGUACACAUUCUUGCAUGCAGGAAUUCCCUUUUUCUAGAGGUUACCAACCUACAUUUACUGUUGGGGAAGUGGCUUGAAAACUGCGGCAUAUGUAUAAAACAGAGCAGGACAUGUGGCUGCGAAGAAGAAUGAAAAGAACAAUAUAUACA
This is a long non-coding RNA of Ochotona princeps (American pika), 311 nucleotides long. RefSeq lists it as uncharacterized. The record is from RefSeq and is a predicted model, not a curated record. NCBI's taxonomy places the organism in Eukaryota, Metazoa, Chordata, Mammalia, Lagomorpha, Ochotonidae. The transcript has 2 exons.